Melospiza melodia melodia is the source of this 1531-nucleotide long non-coding RNA. RefSeq lists it as uncharacterized. The record is from RefSeq and is a predicted model, not a curated record. NCBI's taxonomy places the organism in Eukaryota, Metazoa, Chordata, Aves, Passeriformes, Passerellidae. The transcript is spliced from 4 exons.
GGUGAGAGCUGGGGGAGGAGUGAUUUUACAGCACAGUGACAUGAUCCCAGACAUUCUCCAUUCUCCUGGAACUGUGUCUUAGGAAAAAUAGGGAGCAGAAUACGUAAAAUACUCCAUUGUGUAAAAACAAACAAAAAGACAUCAGUGACUGACCUUUCUAAGACAAUUAAACAUCGUGGGUGACACUGCACUGCAGCUUCCCUUCCUUGCUGAGGAAUAUGAUGGCCUGUUAGAAAUGUUGGAACUGGAUGAUGCUUCAGUCAUGCCAUGGUGUGAAAACACUCGCUCUGCCCAGACCGAAUCAUCCUGCCCUGAGCUGCCCUUUUCACACUGUGAUUACAAGGAGGUUAGCCCAACUGAACUGGAGUUAUACAAUCUGCAAAGCUAUUGAAAUGACCUCAGUAACCUCAAAGAGAAGAUGAUUUUAAGUGGAUCACCUAAGUGGAUAACGACAAAAUUAGUCUCUGCUGUCAGGAAACCAGAAGCACCUUAGUUAAGAAUUUGAGAUGAUGCAAAAAGGAAACAGUUCAGCUUGUUUUCACUGGUCGCUUGGUGAGAUACCCAUGCAACUGGCAAGAGUUGUUCUUUUAAAAUGCCAUGUUCUGGGAAAUGUAAUGGAACUUUGCCUAUGGAAUCAGUCUGAGCUACAAGAAGUACAGCAGAAUCCAAGAACUGGGAUGGAGAACUGAACAGGAAGAGUAAGGUCUGGAAGAAGCUGGUAUUCCUGAAAAUUAUGUGAGCAGUUCUACCAAAUGCCAAAAAGUCACAUCUAAGAUUUUUGUGACAGUACAAAAUGAUGCAAUCAAGAGGUAGAAAAUAUUUUUGAAACAGUUAAUGAUUUGUGUAUUGUUGGACCCAACAAGAGUUAUUGGAUUUUAAGCAAGAUUAAAUUAGGAUUUUGUACACAAAACAGGAAAAUCCAUUUAAAAAAUCAACUGUACAAAAUAUUCAACCAAGAUGAAAAAUUUAUGACUGAAAAUGAAGGGAGGACUAGACAGUUUCCAUUUGCGUCAGUUCUUUGCUUGCCACAGAAGCUGACUAGAAAAUAGCUUUCACAUAUUUUAGGUCCAGUUCAGCAUAGCAAACUGUAUCUGUCUUUAAAAUAACAACACAAACCCCCAAAUCCUUCCUUUUCAGAAUUCAACAUAUUGUACUCUAUAAAUUUUGAUUUAGGUGCAUUUCAGCAUAUGUCCUUAUUUAGUUCAAUGAACAGUCACAAACAGAUGGUGUUUCCAGUUUCUAGAGGUGAGGAAUUUCAUUAGGGCUAUGGGAUAAGAUCCUAGGUACCUAAACUAAAUAUUUAUGUUAGAUAGUUUCCUCACAGAGCUUCAGAAAACAGUUUUCUUUUUAAUUAUAGAAGUAACUGAACCAUAGCAAAUAUAAGUUUUGUGUUCUAGCAAGAAUGCUGUAAGUACUGUUAAUGUCUUAAUUUAUUCCCGGAGUGUGAUACAAGACUCCAUUUCAGGAAUUCUGCUACUCCUUUAUAAUAACUAUUGUUUUUCAAUAAAUUAAUCUAUUUGUUUCUGCUUUA